RNAcentral lists this ribosomal RNA (496 nucleotides) under uncultured bacterium. Its description in RNAcentral is "partial 16S ribosomal RNA". It matches the Rfam family "Bacterial small subunit ribosomal RNA", at positions 28 to 506 of the family's 1533-position model. The record is from RNAcentral.
GAUGAACGCUGGCGGCGUGCCUAAUACAUGCAAGUCGAGCGAACAGACGAGGAGCUUGCUCCUCUGACGUUAGUGGCGGACGGGUGAGUAACACGUGGAUAACCUACCUAUAAGACUGGGAUAACUUCGGGAAACCGGAGCUAAUACCGGAUAAUAUAUUGAACCGCAUGGUUCAAUAGUGAAAGACGGUUUUGCUGUCACUUAUAGAUGGAUCCGCGCCGCAUUAGCUAGUUGGUAAGGUAACGGCUUACCAAGGCAACGAUGCGUAGCCGACCUGAGAGGGGGAUCGGCCCCACGGGAACUAAGAACCGGCCCACGCCCCCAGGGGGGGCAGCAGUGGGGAAUCUUCCGGAAUGGGGGAAAGCUGGACGGGGCAACGCCGCGGGAGGGAUGAAGUUUUUCGGAUCGUAAAACUCUUUUUUGAGGGAAGAAAAAAUGUUUAAGUAACUAUGCCCGUCUGGACGGUACCUAAUCAAAAAGCCACGGCUAACUACGU